AUUGAACGCUGGCGGCAGGCCUAACACAUGCAAGUCGAGCGGAUGAAGGGAGCUUGCGCCUGGAUUCAGCGGCGGACGGGUGAGUAAUGCCCAGGAAUCUGCCGGGCAUUGGGGGAUGACGUCCGGAAACGGGUGCUAAUACCGCAUACGUCCUGAGGGUGAAACUGGGGGAGCUUCGGACCUCACGCUAUCAGAGGAGCCUAGGUCGGAUUAGCUAGCUGGUGGGGUAAAGGCCUACCAAGGCGGCGAUCCGUAACUGGUCUGAGUGGAUGAUCAGUCACCCUGGAGCGGGGCCACGCACCAGACUCCUGCGAGAGGGAGCAGUGGCGUAUGUUGGACAGUAGGCGAGAGCCUGGUCCAACCGUGCCACGUGUGUGGCGGAGGUCUUCCGAGCGUAAAGCACUUUAAGUUGGGAGGAAGGGCAGUAGGUUGAUACGUAGCUGUUUUGACGUUACCAGCAGAAUAAGCACCGGCUAACUUCGUG
Molecule: ribosomal RNA, 484 nt
Filed under: uncultured bacterium
Lineage: Bacteria
Description: partial 16S ribosomal RNA
Rfam family: Bacterial small subunit ribosomal RNA
Source: RNAcentral